RNAcentral lists this ribosomal RNA (548 nucleotides) under Pusia vassardi. RNAcentral describes it as "partial 16S ribosomal RNA". It matches the Rfam family "Bacterial large subunit ribosomal RNA", at positions 1798 to 2613 of the family's 2925-position model. Lineage: Eukaryota; Metazoa; Mollusca; Gastropoda; Neogastropoda; Costellariidae. The record is from RNAcentral.
GCCUGUUUUUACAAAAACAUGGCUCUUUGUAUAAAAAAAAUAAAGAGUCGGACCUGCCCAGUGAUAAAUAUUUUUAACGGCCGCGGUACCCUGACCGUGCAAAGGUAGCAUAAUCAUUUGCCUUGUAAUUUAAGGCUAGUAUGAAGGGUUUGACAAGAAUAUAACUGUCUCUUUUUAAUUAAAUAGAACUUUACUUUCAGGUGAAGAGGCCUGUAUUAUAUUAAUAGACAAGAAGACCCUAUCGAGCUUGAAAACAAUUAAUAGGCUUUACAUUAAAUAGUUAUAAAACUUAAGCUAUUAAGCAUUUUGGUUGGGGCGACUAAGGAACAAAAUAAGCUUCCUUAAAAAUUUUAACAUUCAGGUGCUGACCCAGAAUUAUUCUGAUUAAAGGAAUUAGUUACCGUAGGGAUAACAGCAUUAUCUUUUUUAAGAGCUCUUAUCGAAAAAAAGGUUUGUGACCUCGAUGUUGGACCAGAAUGUCCUAAAGGUGCAGCAGCCUUUAAGGGUUGGUCUGUUCGACCAUUAAAAUUCUACGUGAUCUGAGUUCA